Molecule: long non-coding RNA, 829 nt
Organism: Gasterosteus aculeatus aculeatus (three-spined stickleback)
Lineage: Eukaryota; Metazoa; Chordata; Actinopteri; Perciformes; Gasterosteidae
Source: Ensembl
CCGGUGGAUGUGGGGUGGAUGUCGGGUGGAUGUCGGGUGGAGGGCCGGUGGAUGGCUGGUGGAUGUCGGGUGGAUGUCGGGUGGAUGUCGGGUGGAGGGCCGGUGGAUGGCCGGUGGAUGUGGGGUGGAUGUCGGGUGGAUGUGGGGUGGAUGUCGGGUGGAUGUCGGGUGGAUGUCGGGUGGAGGGCCGGUGGAUGAUGAGUCAGCAGCAACAUUACAGCUGCAGUAGCUCGUGUGUGUAACAGUAAUGAGCCUGAAGGUUUCUGAGAGGCGUUUCCAGCGUCUGAUGAUUGCAGGAGAAGAUCAGACCUUCUCGGUGGACCAGCACCUCCUUUCACUGAAGAGCUGCUCUCUAUUUCGUUUGACGGCUGUAACGUUUACCCGGUCCAACGGUUGCUGAUUGACAUUGAGAGUGAGAUGAUUAAAAUGAUUGUUAGAACUGUAAUCUUAAACUACUCAAAUGUUAUGAAUAAAAGUCGUAUUGAUAUAUUGUUAGUAUCAAUAUACAGUGUAUUUUACAGAUAUAAAAUAUAUAACUUUAGAAUCAUGUGUAAAUACUAUAGUGAUAAAAAAAUCUGUUAUUUUUUCUGCCAUGUAAAAACCUUAAAAUAAAGGAAUAAAUAGCUGAUUGAUCAGCGCUUGUCUUGAAGUUAUAUUCUCACCGUGUAGCAGUGUUGACACAUAUAAACACGUGGUAGAUACAGUGUCAGGAACGUGCAAUAUUAUGAAAGUUAUACUCCUCUUUUGUCUUAUAACAGUCACCAGUUUGGACAUUAAAGUGGCAGAAGCAUCAUUGCGUCUGUGUGUUGACUGAUUUGUUUCUUGUUCA